AAGGAGACCACCUGGUAACAGAGACCGCACUUUGAAGGUCCCUUGAGCGGUCGUCUUAGACAGGUUUGAAUGGGACGCUGCAAGGUCUCAGUACAACACAUUGAAGCGUAUCCAACAGGAUCCUGGGAAAGCUCUGCAUGGGCAUGGGUGCACAGCACAGUCAGAACAAUUUAUGCACUGUUUGAGUAGUGUGGAUCACUAUCAAAGAACAUCCAAGAUCGUGUCAUCGUCAAUGCAUGGAAUGGUGUCUGUCUCAGUCUGUUUAUAUACGCAGGUUAAUCAAAUAUAAUAGCAAUAAAGAGAACAAAUUCUGCAGUCAUCGCCACACUACAACGAAGUCAUGAAAGUUUACCAUAAUUAAUUUUAUUGUCACAUUCAUCAGUGGAAUGUCAUGAAUGAAGAGUAACCAUGCUGAACAAUGAUAUACAUUCAAUGAUGUGUUACGAGAACAAAAUACAGUGCCAAAAUAGAAUGAGAGAAGGUGAGACAAUAGAAGUGAAGUGAAAGCUAAGUGCAACAAUAUAUAAAUAACAAAUAACACACCUUAUGUAUUUCUUCUGGUCUGUUACUGGUCAAAUCAUACUAGUUACAUAUCUUUAAUCUUUGUUGGCCUUCCCGCCACUGUUCAUCUGUGUCAUUUCCAACCAUCUGUUUUUUUGACCUGCUGCUGCAUGGUUCUUUGAAGUGCGCACAACCUUCCAAUCAAUCCAAGAUCUGAUUGAAAAAAUCAGCAGGCUUUAAUCUGACUUGUUGGCCUUCACGCCACUGUUCAUCUGUGUCAUUUCCAACCAUUUGGUUUUUUUGACCUGCUGCUGCAUGGUUCUUUGAAGUGCGCACAACGUCCCAAUCAAUCCAAGAUCUGAUUGAAAAAUCAGCAGACUUUAAUCUGACUUGUUGGCCUUCACGCCACUGUUGAUCUGUGUCAUUUUCAACCAUUGGGUUUCGUGUAUAAGUGCUACUGCUUGGUUCUUUAAAGUGCACGCAACCUUCCUUAA
Sycon ciliatum is the source of this 995-nucleotide long non-coding RNA. RefSeq lists it as uncharacterized. The transcript has 3 exons. The record is from RefSeq and is a predicted model, not a curated record. Lineage: Eukaryota; Metazoa; Porifera; Calcarea; Leucosolenida; Sycettidae.